Molecule: ribosomal RNA, 445 nt
Filed under: uncultured Propionibacteriaceae bacterium
Lineage: Bacteria; Bacillati; Actinomycetota; Actinomycetes; Propionibacteriales; Propionibacteriaceae
Description: bacterial SSU rRNA
Rfam family: Bacterial small subunit ribosomal RNA
Source: RNAcentral
CCUACGGGGGGCUGCAGUGGGGAAUAUUGCGCAAUGGGCGAAAGCCUGACGCAGCAACGCCGCGUGCGGGAUGAAGGCCUUCGGGUUGUAAACCGCUUUCAGCAGGGACGAAGUGAAAAUGACGGUACCUGCAGAAGAAGCACCGGCUAACUACGUGCCAGCAGCCGCGGUGAUACGUAGGGUGCGAGCGUUGUCCGGAAUUAUUGGGCGUAAAGAGCUCGUAGGCGGUCCGUCACGUCGGGAGUGAAAACUCGGGGCUUAACCCCGAGCCUGCUCUCGAUACGGGCAGACUUGAGGAAGGUAGGGGAGAACGGAAUUCCUGGUGGAGCGGUGGAAUGCGCAGAUAUCAGGAGGAACACCAGUGGCGAAGGCGGUUCUCUGGACCUUAUCUGACGCUGAGGAGCGAAAGCGUGGGGAGCAAACAGGCUUAGAUACCCCAGUAGUC